Linepithema humile (Argentine ant) is the source of this 4058-nucleotide non-coding RNA. NCBI's taxonomy places the organism in Eukaryota, Metazoa, Arthropoda, Insecta, Hymenoptera, Formicidae. The record is from RefSeq and is a predicted model, not a curated record.
UGUAAGACUAAUUAUUCAAGUACAUUUGUUUAAAAUUUUGCACACAAGUAGUAAUUUUAUAUCAGUGAUACGUACUCAAAAGAAUGUGGAACAUGCCGACACUUUGUGAAAUCAUUUGUUACUUUUAUUACGCAGUAUGUGCUUGACGUGUGCUACGGAAGUAACGAAACGGUAUUAUUACUCAUUGUCAAUGCUUAAAAUAAAUUAUCAUCAACAAUUUGGUAUAAAUGCUACUCCUGCAUUGUUUGACAAUCAGUGUAAGUGCAAAAUUGCAAUAUGAAGUUAACAGUAGUGUGCCUAAUCGUGUUCGUCGUGGUUGCCGCCUUGAUUCAGGAAUCUGAACAAUUGUGGUAUAGAAGACGCGGAUAUCGUGGAAGAUGUAGGACGUCUACAACUUCUACAACAGUUCCUCCAUCAAGUGGUAGAAGAAGGCGCGAAAUUAUGGAUGUUCUAUUUUCACCAGAAUUUAAUUAAUGUGUAAAAAAAUGGAAAAGACCAAUUGCUGCGUAUAGAAGUUAAAAUGCUAAAACACAGAAUGUUUCACAAGCACAUCACUUAUAGUCCUACUGCACUAAAAAGGCAAACUAACACCUGAAAUCCCCCAAAAAAGUAAUAUGUAAUAAAGAGAUGUUUAAUGCUUAUAUAUAUAAUAUGGUACAUUGAUUAUCUUUUCUUAUCUUGAAUUUCAUACAAAAGUAAGCGCGAUAUUUUUAAUACGAGUAAAUAUUUGAUUCCGUAAACGCAAUGAAAAAAAUAUGAAUGCAUCCAUUAAAACUAGAUUAUAAUGAGAAAGAGAAAGAGAGAGAGUAUAAUGUUCUUUUCCUUGAAUAAUAUUAAAUUGUACUAUAUACAAUGUAAAUGCAAAAAUUACAGAAAAGUGGACGUUACGGCGAACGUAAAACAGAUAUGUCAAUUUCUUCAAUUUCUCGGAUGAAUUUAAUACAGAACACAGAUUAAUAUUAAUCUUCCACAUUUGAAGCUGCACAACUGAUUUACUUUUUAAAAGUGCAAUUUUGUUUUAUUAUUGAGUGGAAAAAUAAUGCGAUAAAUAACGCAUAUAUCAAUGUCACCAAAUCUAUCGAAAGCAACGCAUAUCGCGCGAAAAUUCCGCCAGAUUAUCGUACAAAUCUCUGUCGUACUUGCAAUAAGAAUUGGCAACAUCAUAAAAUGGCUCAUCUUGAAUGUAACAAUGAUCCGGAAAACACGACGAAAGGGGAAAAGUAAAAAAGAACGCUUUUAUCGAUAAGCAAUGCAAUUUUGUUUCAACAACGCAGGGCUUUCACUCUGUUAUGUAUAUAUUUUUUUUAUCGCUUUAUAGGCUUCGUUAGGUGGGCAUGCAUUUUUUCGGAAAUACGCCACGCAGUGUGCGCGCGGGACCUUCCGUGAUCGCGCGCGCGGCUGGCACACGUGCGUGAUUGGCAGAAAUUCAUUUCGAGCGAUUUACAUGUCGCGCGGAAAUUGCGUGUCUGGUGAGCGUAUGCCGUGAGGCCCUUUGUUUAGAUGGCAACGUUUGUCAUCAGUUCUCUCCGCGUAGGUGAGUUGUCGUACGGCAGCCGGUACGAGGGGCGGCACGAGAGGGUGACUCCAAGACAGCCGCCGGAAUAUUGGGCACAGAUGCAUGCAGACCAUCAAGAUUACUUACGACCUUCCGCGAUAAUACUCAAAAUGCUUAAAUCCGUACAUCGGGUCUUUGUGCUGUCUCAACAAUGGAUUUCGAUGUCAGCGGUUUCCUUUCCCAAUAAUAAUUUGUACUUCCUCUGUACCAACUAAGAUCAAUACGCGAACCGUUCAUUUAUGGAAAUUUCACGAAAGACUGUUUUUCAAUUUUCUUUCAUCAUUCUACUUGCUAUUAUCUUUUCGUUGUUCCAACCAUGUACAAAAUAUACACGAUAGCGGUCAAUCAGUUAAUGGAAAAUGUAACUUGGGAAAAAUGAUAAAGAAUGCUUGAUAAAUUCUCAAAAAGAUCUGCCACGAAGAGAUGUAAUCAAAAAAUCAGUCGCAUGGGAAAACUGAGUAAAAAAAGGUUUUAAUUGAAUUAAAUGAGGCAUUUGGCUAAAAGUAUCGCGGAAACAUUUUUAAGAGAUGAAUAUUUCUCGCGUGAAACGUUUUUCCUACGUGUAUGUAUGUAUGUAUGUGUUGUGUGUGUGUGUGUGUAUGUGUAUGUGCGCCGGUUGCACUAGCCAGGCCACAUGCAUCGGGUUCGCGAUGUUUGCCGAUCAAACAGACUUUAUAACGAGAUGAACGCGUGCAGCCUGUUGACGGAAAAUAUUGAACGAACGUAAGCUCCCGGCAUUGUCCUUGACAAAAGAGCGGCCAGUUUGUUCGCGUCCGAUGAAGGAACGUAUCCACCGCCGGGGCAGGACACGACCCCUCGCGUUCCUCGGAUCCGACACGAAACAAGCCUAUUCAGACAGUAUCGAGUGCUCCUGACACCGAUUCAUGGAAUAUCAAUUUAAUGGCCAGAACCAACAUUCGUUCGUGAUUGGUUCGGAGCGAAAUUUUCUCGUGGAAAAAUCGACGACAAGCGAAAAUAAGUCAAAUGUGAGAUUCUCGUUGCGAAAAUCUUCAUUGAAUUGAUUUUCAUGAUUAUCAUUUCCUAUUUGAAUCAAUAUAAAAUUAUAAUUCGCUAUCUUCCGAUAUAUUUAUAAAAUUAAAAAGUAUAUAGUCCUUAUGAAAACUUUUUGCACGAUUGUUAAAAGUGUAAGAAAUAAUGUAUUAAAGAAUUUUAGUUUAACAUUUAUUUUACGCAGCAACUUCCACGUCAAUUCUCAACACGAAUUAUCAUCAAAUCACAGCGUAAGAUUCUCGCUAUUCGAAUAUCAACGUUCAUAACGUCGUUAACAAAUGUCUGAAUUGUUCAAUACGUAACUCGUAAAAACGAUUGCUGUCUAGUAGGCGCCAAAUCUAGCAAACAUCGAACAUAAUGGCGACUGUUAGAAGCGCGUGAUGAACACUUGAGUUAGAAAUGCAAAUUAAUCGACGCAGAGAUCGCAAGUGAUCCAUUCAUCUACGUCCAUCCCUCUCUCACCGGUAUCAAACAGUGGCCUCGUAAUGGGAUAGCCCCGACCACAAUACACCCUUCAGCGAGGCGGAAGAGAAACAAGGAAACAGCAUUACCCGGGAAACGCGUCUGUAAUCCUGACCGAUCCAAGAACCAUCAGUAUCAAUGGAUGUAUCAGCAUCAUUGUCGCCAUCAUCGAAGUCGGACCCGGCUAUCACUUCGAGUGGUUGUACAGACAUUUCAACAAUGAAUUAUAUGAAAAAGAAAUAAAAGCGAUGCGUUAAGUAGAAUUUAAUGUCUGUAUCUUUCAUGAAAAGAAAAUUUUAUCAAUCUCAUCUCGAUAUCUCGCAAUCUAUUCUUUACGUUGUAAUCGAAAUUACAAUCUCAAUCUGCAAAAUGCAAAUGUAUCAUGUACUACCCACAUAAUAAAUUACACGGUCCAAAACACAACACGCGCAAUUGGAAUACACACGAUGCUAUCAUCGUCGACUAAUGAGGUUAUCAAAACGAAUUGGCCUGUACGAGCGGCGCUAUUUCAGCCGAUAAUUGGCGCGCCGUAUUAUCGCUAAUCACCGCGGAAGUGCCUCGACACGAAAGAUCGAUUAUUGCCGCGCGUCGAUCGAGACGUUAAGCUUUCGAAUCGCGUGAAAGCGAGCCGUGUAAUCCGCGUGAAUUUCCACGAAGCUUCGGUCAGUUGGAGAGAACGACAUUCACUCCAGAUCCAAGGAUUUAGGCGUGCGAUGCUUGAUGAAGAGGCCAUUGCGCUAAGUCUAACCAGCGCGCGCGGAGGAUCGGCCGUUAGGCUCGGCCGCUGGUACUCCGUUAGGCGGCUUACGAGGCAGUUACCAGGCUGUUACCAUGUCGAUGGUGCCACUUGUCUCGAGAGGCUACCUGCUUCAGCCUCGCACGGAUGAAUGACACGAUUUCGGCUUGGGCAUUCGGUCGUAUUUAACCCAUCAAUUCGGUCGGCUUCCAAACGAUGUCCACGCACGUUGAUAACGUUCCUCUACGACGCCGUUGUAUUCCGCCACAAAUUUUUCAAAUCAUCAUUUGACAA